RNAcentral lists this ribosomal RNA (468 nucleotides) under uncultured bacterium. RNAcentral's name for it is "partial 16S ribosomal RNA". It matches the Rfam family "Bacterial small subunit ribosomal RNA", at positions 28 to 507 of the family's 1533-position model. The record is from RNAcentral.
GACGAACGCUGGCGGCGUGCUUAACACAUGCAAGUCGAACGGAAAGGCCCUGCUUUUGUGGGGUGCUCGAGUGGCGAACGGGUGAGUAACACGUGAGUAACCUGCCCUUGACUUUGGGAUAACUUCAGGAGACUGGGGCUAAUACCGGAUAGGAGCUCCUGCUGCAUGGUGGGGGUUGGAAAGUUUCGGCGGUUGGGGAUGGACUCGCGGCUUAUCAGCUUGUUGGUGGGGUAGUGGCUUACCAAGGCUUUGACGGGUAGCCGGCCUGAGAGGGUGACCGGCCACUUUGGGACUGAGAUACGGCCCAGACUCCUACGGGAGGCAGCAGUGGGGAAUAUUGCACAAUGGGCGGAAGCCUGAUGCAGCAACGCCGCGUGCGGGAUGACGGCCUUCGGGUUGUAAACCGCUUUCGCCUGUGACGAAGCGUGAGUGACGGUAAUGGGUAAAGAAGCACCGGCUAACUACGUG